RNAcentral lists this long non-coding RNA (316 nucleotides) under Homo sapiens (human). RNAcentral's name for it is "PREDICTED lncRNA (TCONS_00264649)". Lineage: Eukaryota; Metazoa; Chordata; Mammalia; Primates; Hominidae. The record is from RNAcentral.
CAACCCUCCAGCCUCGGCCUCCCAAAGUGUUGGGAUCAUAGGCAUGAGACACCGUGCCUGGCGAAGAUAUUUUUACCGAAAAGGACAGAGGGUGUACUUGGAGGCACAUACCAAAGAAAUGCCAUGUGAGAACAAGCAAGAAGGUGGCCAUCUGUAAACCAGGAAGAGUGUCCUCACCAGAAAAUGAAGUGGCUUCAACUUUGAUCUCAGAAUUCCAGCCUCCAUAACUGUGAGAAAAUACAUUUCUGUUCUUUCAGCCAGUCUAUGGCAUUACAUUAUAGCAACCCAAGCAAACUAAGGCAUGCCCAGAAAUGAC